CCAGAUUCACUAGAAGUCUUACUUUCUACCCUAUAUCUCCUUUUUAAUUAGCUCUCAGGUGAUAUAGUCCUUCAUCAACUCCUCCCCUUUCCCUCACAGGAAUUCUCCUUCGGCUCCUUCUGGCAUAUAAUCAUCUUCUCAAUCAACCCUUCCAUAUAACCAAGGGAAUUUUUAUUGGUUUUCCGUUCUUAUUUGAUGCAGUGCGAGGAUUCAAAGGUGUUCACAGAGUGCAAUGCAC
This 238-nucleotide long non-coding RNA is filed under the name Capsicum annuum. RNAcentral's name for it is "long non-coding RNA (CANN_LNC020409)". The record is from RNAcentral. Lineage: Eukaryota; Viridiplantae; Streptophyta; Magnoliopsida; Solanales; Solanaceae.